Rosa chinensis is the source of this 3630-nucleotide long non-coding RNA. RefSeq lists it as uncharacterized. The record is from RefSeq and is a predicted model, not a curated record. The transcript is spliced from 4 exons. Lineage: Eukaryota; Viridiplantae; Streptophyta; Magnoliopsida; Rosales; Rosaceae.
UGACGUGGCCAAUUAUGAUCCACAAAGAGUGCUGAUUUUUUGUUGACUGGUAAGUCUCUGUUAAUUGUAAGUUUUGUGCCGUGAUGGUAAAAUGAGGAGGGGUUUCUAGUAUUUUCCCUGCGGAAAUAUCUCCGAACCCAGGUUCGUAUUGAAGUCAUUUGCCUCGCUAAUCUGUCAUUCGAGUUAUCUCUUCCCCUUAACGGAAGCUGAUUAAAAGCAGAGAGAGAGAGAGAGAGCAAACCAAUCCCGGCACCAAUCAGCCUAAUUACCUCCGACUCUGGGUCUCUCAUUCUUGUUAUCCGGAUGGUUUUGAUUAUUGUCAUUCAGUUUGAUUUUGGAUGGUUUGGCAGCUGUGUUGGUAAGUCGAUGACGGCAAUUUGUAGGCGGCAAUGGACACUCGGACCCCGAAAACCUCACCUCACCUCACCACCAGAGCACAAUUUCGUCUAUACAGGAUGGUCCGGAAUCUCCAAAAUCUCCAAUAGCAAAGUCUCCAUCCCAGAACUCUCUUCGUAAUGCUAGUCUCGUUGCCAAAAGGAAAAUGUUUGCUGAGUCCCAGGUUGGAAGUUCCAGUUUCCAUAAGCUUUUGGAGCCAAAGCCCACUCAGAGAUCUGCAAUUACUCCUUAUAGAAUUGUUCUUGGUAAUAUAAAAAGACAAGGUAUGUUUAUUUGCUUUGAAUAUGUCAAGCAAGUUGUUGUUAGCGGAUACAUAGCUAAGCUUGAUUGGUUUAUAUUUUUGUGAUGCUGGUUUGGGGUGGUACCACCCUUUUUCUGGAACAGCUUGUUUAUUCUGACAAUGUUUGCUUGUUUAGAAGAUUGAUUGAAAGGGAAUGAUUAUACAGUCAUUUGUUUUUGUUAUGUUACUUAUGCAUGUGUUGUCACACCCCAAACCCGGGGGUGUGACUUAAGGGGUUCUCAAGUAAGAGAAAUUUAGAAAAAGACCAAAUUUGACACAAUUGAAGUGUAACCUUAAGGCAGCAACAGUUCAGCCUAGGGGAUUUUGAAAAUGAACCGUUUGAACUCUUUCGUAACUAUGAUCUUGUGCUUUACACAUUGAUUGAGAUUACUUGAUAUUCUCAUCGAAGUAUUGGUUUUGGGUUUUCAAAUUCCGAUACAUACUUUUAUUACUAUAAGCUGACAAAGAGUUCUGGGUAAUCAUGUCUACUGCAUUGGAACUAAUAAGUUUGACAAAGAGUAUAGUCCAGUAAAGACUUGACUUUAAAGUUUUAGAGUUCUGUGAAGCAUCCCUGAUGGUUAUUCACUUUUAUUUUCUUUGCUCCUCAGAUAUGUUUCCAAAUGACACCAAACUUAAUUAGUGAGAAUGCUUGUCCGGUUGUCCUCUUUAAAUUGAGAUGGUUCUUGGAGACUCCUCCCUGUUCAUUGCUUACAUCAGAUUUGUAUCAUCACUUUUCCAUCCAAGAAAAUUGGUAUCAGAGCUCAAGUAGUAGAUUUAAUUAGGUAGUGUCUAAGUGUGUUAUAUAGUCUAGUGACCAUUGCAGCUUUUGUGCUUGGGUAAUGAAUUUAACUUUGUUGAGGGUCAGUUGCUAGAUUCAUGAUUUCAGUUUGAUUGAGUUAAUUUAUAUGAUUGUGUAUCAUCUGUUCAGAUAGUGAAAGUGUUGCAUAAAGACACCAUUUGGCUUUUGAAAUCUCUAGUUAUAUCUCAGCAUAAUUUUUGGUUAUUAUUUUGAUUCAUCCUUCAAUAUUGAUUUCAGCUGAGCUGUGUUUUCUUUAAAAUUGGACAUUCCAACACUUUCUCCAAACAAGUUUCGUCCAAAACAAAAUAAAUUUGAACCCGUAGCUCCUUCCAAAAGAAAAGUCAGUCAGCUGGAAUUUUGCAAAAACUGCCCUGCAGCAUAACCCUCUUCGGUAUUUCUGUUUCUCAACUUAUUGGCCUCCAAAUAUUCUGAAAUUUUGACAUAUUUCUUUUCUGUUGGUUAACAAAGGAUCUGGAAAGUUUCGUCUUAUUUCGAUGUGUAGUGAAUUUUCAGUGAUUUUUCCAAAUUUGGUCUGCAUUUGGAAAAGUUCCAGCACUCUAAAUGUCUCCUUUGAUUUUCUGUUGAGAUUUGAACUUCCACUUGAAUUAUUUAACCUCUGGUUUUUAUGUAUAUUGAACCAUAUUUCCCAAUGCUCGUUUCAAAACUGAUUUCUUGUCAUUUGGACUUACAAUGAAUUUUUUGGUGGCCUUUGCUGCUGCAAUAUUUUUCUAAAACCUGGCAGUUCAGUCUAUCUGCAUCCUUCCUUCUCGAACUCCGAUUUGCUUGCAAAUUUAGGAUGUCUUUCUUUACCAUGGUUACUUUUAGUCUGGAAAGUUUCAAGUUCAUUGCUGCAGAAAUGAAGUUUUAGUAAAUCUUCAAAGUUAAGUUGUUCAUGCCUUAACUCUCCAGCCCACUUAUGUCUCCCUUUCAUUAUAACUCUAUUGCAUCAGCUUUCAGUUCUUCAUCUACAGUUUUCAAGUUCAGAUAAUGUAUUUGUUGCUUGAUUAACAUAUAGUUUCAUUUGGUUUAAUGUUACUUACAUUUCUUUCUUCAAAUCAAAGUCCAUCCCGACGUACUUCAUACUUUUAGGCUAAGAUUGUAUCGAUCUUGGUCUUAUUCACAUUUGCUCUUACUUGAGAACCCCUUAACUCAUACCCCAAGUUUGGGGUUGUGACAUGUGUAUGUUCUGUGGGUACAGCUUAUGAAGACACGAAGACAAUUGGAGCUUCUUCUAGAGGAUCUUCCUUGCGAUUUUAAUCUAUCGGAGUAUUAUGACACAUCAGAUGAACUUAUACAAUCAUGUGGAUCUGGGAUCCUAGCUGAUGGUCGGCUUGCUGAUUUGAUCCGAAGAGUUGCUACGUUUGGGAUGGUAUUAAUGAAAGCUCGACUUGCGCCAGAUGUGCUUUUAUUUUAUUAUAGAAGAAGUUGCUACCCCAGGCUGAGCUUGGCUUCCUCAACAUAGGAAGCCGCCCCUCAAGAAGAAAGAGCUCUGCUGGAAUUGGACAUCUUCGGGCAAUUCCAUGGGUGUUUGCAUGGACUCAAACCAGAUUUGUCUUCCAGCUUGGCUUGGAGUUAAACCCCUUGUUGAUCUUUUUGAGAGCAUCAAACACACCAGCCAUAAAGAUGUAUGAGAAGAGUCCCAUAUUGAAUCUGUCAUUCUUGCCAAGAUUAUAGGACCUAUGCAGCCGUACUUCCUAAUUCCAAUCUCUACCUCAUGUUUUACGUUCUUUUUUUACCAAGCUUUGUCGUUGUGACUAGGGAAAUGUUUUGUUGGCAGGCCAUCCCUUGGAUGAGAAAUUAUAAUGGUGUAUGGGUGCUAUAUUUUUACAUUUAGACUCAUGAAGAUCUAUCAGUGAUUGUCAUCCUUUCCAAAGGUUUCUUUUAGGGGAUGUUUCUGUGGAAUCUGACAAAAGAAGAGAAUUGUUUUCAACACUCUCAAGUUCGACAAUGUGAUGCUUAGAAGCACAAAAUUGGUUCAUAGCUCAAGUGGUGACUUAGAAUGAUUUAUUGGGAAAUUCUUUACAUUCCUAUAAAAGGCUUUUAUUUCGAGCAGUAAAACAUUACAAAAUUGUCAUGAUGUAAUUUGGUCGGAAUUUGCUUUCUCAAAAUUUGCUUUUGGAUUGGAGUAGUUUAUCAUACAUCAGAUGCAUCCCAA